RNAcentral lists this ribosomal RNA (522 nucleotides) under uncultured bacterium. RNAcentral describes it as "partial 16S ribosomal RNA". It matches the Rfam family "Bacterial small subunit ribosomal RNA", at positions 28 to 523 of the family's 1533-position model. The record is from RNAcentral.
GACGAACGCUGGCGGCGUGCUUAACACAUGCAAGUCGAACGCAAAACUUUCACCGAAUGCUUGCAUUCACGAAAGUUUUGAGUGGCGAACGGGUGAGUAACACGUGGGUAACCUGCCCAGAAGAGGGGGAUAACACUUGGAAACAGGUGCUAAUACCGCAUAAUAACAAAAACCGCAUGGUUUUUGUUUGAAAGAUGGUUUUGCUAUCACUUCUGGAUGGACCCGCGGCGUAUUAGCUAGUUGGUAAGGUAAAGGCUUACCAAGGCAAUGAUACGUAGCCGAACUGAGAGGUUGAUCGGCCACAUUGGGACUGAGACACGGCCCAAACUCCUACGGGAGGCAGCAGUAGGGAAUCUUCCACAAUGGACGAAAGUCUGAUGGAGCAACGCCGCGUGAGUGAAGAAGGUUUUCGGAUCGUAAAACUCUGUUGUUAAAGAAGAACGUGUGUGAGAGUAACUGCUCAUGCAGUGACGGUAUCUAACCAGAAAGCCACGGCUAACUACGUGCCAGCAGCCGCAGUAA